GACUGAGACAGUGACAGGAGUAAAUGCUGCCACUGUGGCCACCACGAGAAACACUUUGCUCGGGAUUUAGUUCUCAGCAUGACCUAGAUGCAUGGUCCCGUGGAUCUACUGUAUACUGAGGUUCAGCUGUUCCCUGAGGAUUACAGUGGCUCUGGAGGAUGAAAGGAAAAAAGAGAUGGCACUCCUGACCAUCCCAACUGAAACACCAGACAUUUGAGGAAGCUCAGCCUGGACAAUCCCAGCUCAACUUAAUCCAACUACCAAACAUAGAACAGUGAAAAAACCAAUGAUUGUUUGAAAUUUCUACAUUUUAGAGAUGUAACAAUGGAAAAAUGACAUCAGAACUAAUACCGAGAGCUAGGUUUGUGGGCCCAUAUUAGAAACGCCAGCAAUUAGAAGGCAGAAGUAAGGGGAUUUCACAAUGGUGGGCUACAUGGUGUCCUGUCUCAAACAAUAACAAUACAAUACAAAACUACAAACAACACAACAACAAC
Molecule: long non-coding RNA, 494 nt
Filed under: Rattus norvegicus (Norway rat)
Lineage: Eukaryota; Metazoa; Chordata; Mammalia; Rodentia; Muridae
Description: long non-coding RNA NONRATT008363
Source: RNAcentral